AGGCCUGUGGAGCGGCUCGAAAAUGGAGAGGUGUAAUUACCCUUUGUCGCAUUGACACGGUAGAGGUCAUAGGUUCGAGUCCUAUACGGCCUACCA
Molecule: transfer RNA, 96 nt
Filed under: Planctomycetota bacterium
Lineage: Bacteria; Pseudomonadati; Planctomycetota
Description: Planctomycetes bacterium (wastewater metagenome) tRNA-Ser
Source: RNAcentral